CAGUAGCCGCGGUAAUACGUAGGUGGCAAGCGUUGUCCGGAAUUAUUGGGCGUAAAGGGCUCGCAGGCCGCUUCUUAAGUCUGAUGUGAAAGCCCCCGGCUCAACCGGGGAGGGUCAUUGGAAACUGGGAAACUUGAGUGCAGAAGAGGAGAGUGGAAUUCCACGUGUAGCGGUGAAAUGCGUAGAGAUGUGGAGGAACACCAGUGGCGAAGGCGACUCUCUGGUCUGUAACUGACGCUGAGGAGCGAAAGCGUGGGGAGCGAACAGGAUUAGAUACCCCGGUAGUCCCUGUCUCUUAUAC
Molecule: ribosomal RNA, 301 nt
Filed under: uncultured bacterium
Lineage: Bacteria
Description: partial 16S ribosomal RNA
Rfam family: Bacterial small subunit ribosomal RNA
Source: RNAcentral